CCUAUGGGUGGCUGCAGUGGGGAAUAUUGGACAAUGGGGGCAACCCUGAUCCAGCCAUGCCGCGUGUGUGAAGAAGGCCCUCGGGUUGUAAAGCACUUUCAGUGAGGAAGAACGCCUGGUGGUUAAUACCCAUCAGGAAAGACAUCACUCACAGAAGAAGCACCGGCUAACUCCGUGCCAGCAGCCGCGGUAAUACGGAGGGUGCGAGCGUUAAUCGGAAUUACUGGGCGUAAAGCGCGCGUAGGUGGCUUGAUAAGCCGGUUGUGAAAGCCCCGGGCUCAACCUGGGAACGGCAUCCGGAACUGUCAAGCUAGAGUGCAGGAGAGGAAGGUAGAAUUCCCGGUGUAGCGGUGAAAUGCGUAGAGAUCGGGAGGAAUACCAGUGGCGAAGGCGGCCUUCUGGACUGACACUGACACUGAGGUGCGAAAGCGUGGGUAGCAAACAGGAUUAGAUACCCUAGUAGUC
RNAcentral lists this ribosomal RNA (465 nucleotides) under Vreelandella stevensii. RNAcentral's name for it is "partial 16S ribosomal RNA". It matches the Rfam family "Bacterial small subunit ribosomal RNA", at positions 338 to 795 of the family's 1533-position model. The record is from RNAcentral. Lineage: Bacteria; Pseudomonadati; Pseudomonadota; Gammaproteobacteria; Oceanospirillales; Halomonadaceae.